UUCGCAAUGCCCGAAAGGGUGACGAAGCGACGCCGCGUGUGGGAAGAAGGCCUUCGGGCUGUAAACCACUGUCGGGAGUUAAGAAAUGCAAGGAUAUUAAUAGUGUCUUUGUUUGACUAAGGCUCCGGAGGAAGCCACGGCUAACUCUGUGCCAGCAGCCGCGGUAAUACAGAGGCGGCAAGCGUUGUUCGGAAUUAUUGCGCGUAAAGAGCACGUAGGCGGCUAUGUAAGUCGGUUGUGAAAGCCUUCCGCUCAACGGAAGAACAGCAUCCGAUACUACAUGGCUUGAGUGCGGGAGGGGAGAGUGGAACUUCUGGUGGAGCGGUGAAAUGCGUAAAUAUCAGAAGGAACGCCGGCGGCGAAAGCGGCUCUCUGGCCCAUAACUGACGCUGAGUGUGCGAAAGCUAGGGGAGCAAACGGGAUUAGAUACCCCGGUAGUCCUAGCCGUAAACGAUGGGCACUAAGUAGAGGGGUUUU
Molecule: ribosomal RNA, 477 nt
Filed under: uncultured bacterium
Lineage: Bacteria
Description: bacterial SSU rRNA
Rfam family: Bacterial small subunit ribosomal RNA
Source: RNAcentral